This 417-nucleotide ribosomal RNA is filed under the name Triticum aestivum (bread wheat). RNAcentral describes it as "partial small subunit ribosomal RNA". Lineage: Eukaryota; Viridiplantae; Streptophyta; Magnoliopsida; Poales; Poaceae. The record is from RNAcentral.
AUGGCUUGGUCACCUCUCCUUGGCGUGCACGCGGUCGUCCAUGAUGACGGACAUGGAGUUGAGCACCUCCACGUCGAUGGUGGUACCCGCCUCGAGGUCGACGACGUCCAUCUUGCGGAUGCACUGGAAUGCUCCCUCGCAGCAGAGCGCGGCGAGGUAGGCGCCGACGAAGCCGUGCCCGUGCGUGUCCUUGCCAAUGCGCUCGAGGUCGACGUCGUCCGAGAAGCGCAUGUCCUUGGAGUGGAUGCGGAGGAUUUAGAGGCGGCCGACAUCGUCGGGCACGCAGAUGUAGAUCUUGAUUUAGGGUUGCGUGGAGCAAAGCCUCCACAUAUCUCGUAUAUAUAUAAGACCAACAAUACAGAGUUAGAUUACAAUACGGCAGGUAUAAACCGUUUCCAACACAUCCCCUCAAUCUGA